This 696-nucleotide long non-coding RNA is filed under the name Marmota monax (woodchuck). The record is from RNAcentral. Lineage: Eukaryota; Metazoa; Chordata; Mammalia; Rodentia; Sciuridae.
UGUCUGAUGCUUCCCAAAGGCUCCCAGGCAAAGCCAUCGGGUCUGGGCCAGGCAGAGCUCAGGCGGGCCCCGUGGGGGACAGCCUCAGUCUCUCAGCUGUUAGCAAAGUAGAUCUUACAGCCAAUCGCACAGCCACAGCAUCUUUUAGAUAGAUAACCUUCUCUUUGGUGAACUAAAUAUUGACAGAAGUUGAAGAACCGGAACUCUCCAGUUAAGGUGGAAGUUGGGGACGAGGCCUAUAUCUCCUCACCUCCAUGCAGGAAGCCUGAGGCACUGCCGGGGAACAUGGUGUAACAGCAGGGACCUGCCCAUCUGUAAGAUCAGCUCAGUGCUCAGCACCCACAGUGGUGCCCUUCAUCAGGAGAUCGACCUCUGAUCACAUUUCAUUAUGAAAAAUGGCUCCAUAUUCCAUUGAUUUUGAUGGAUGAUAGAAGGCCACGUCUCCAUGCCCCUUACUCGGGUUAGCCCAUUCACUGACAUAACAGCUCAGGCAGUGGAAUGUGGUCAAUAGUACCCCGGCAGGGUGUGCUUUCCAUCUGCAGGAAGGUCUUCUGACCCACAUGCUCUUCCCAGCACGCCCUUGGCACACCCCCAAGGUCUAGUGGAAUCCAUGUCCCAUCAGUGUUCUACUAGAGACCCUUUACUUCCUACCCCUAGGGAUACCAGAAUAUUUUCCAACACAGCUUCAGAAUCUCC